AUUGAACGCUGGCGGAAUGCUUUACACAUGCAAGUCGAGCGGCAGCACGGGGGCAACCCUGGUGGCGAGCGGCGAACGGGUGAGUAAUACAUCGGAACAUGCCCAGUCGUGGGGGAUAACACUUCGAAAGAAGUGCUAAUACCGCAUACGUCCUGAGGGAGAAAGCGGGGGAUCGCAAGACCUCGCGCGAUUGGAGUGGCCGAUGUCAGAUUAGCUAGUUGGUGGGGUAAAGGCCCACCAAGGCAACGAUCUGUAGCUGGUCUGAGAGGAUGAUCAGCCACACUGGGACUGAGACACGGCCCAGACUCCUACGGGAGGCAGCAGUGGGGAAUUUUGGACAAUGGGGGCAACCCUGAUCCAGCCAUUCCGCGUGAGUGAAGAAGGCCUUCGGGUUGUAAAGCUCUUUCGGCAGGAACGAAACGGCGAGCUCUAACAUAGCUUGCUAAUGACGGUACCUGAAGAAGAAGCACCGGCUAACUACGUG
This 484-nucleotide ribosomal RNA is filed under the name uncultured bacterium. Its description in RNAcentral is "partial 16S ribosomal RNA". It matches the Rfam family "Bacterial small subunit ribosomal RNA", at positions 30 to 507 of the family's 1533-position model. The record is from RNAcentral.